This 440-nucleotide ribosomal RNA is filed under the name uncultured bacterium. RNAcentral describes it as "partial 16S ribosomal RNA". It matches the Rfam family "Bacterial small subunit ribosomal RNA", at positions 338 to 795 of the family's 1533-position model. The record is from RNAcentral.
CCUACGGGUGGCAGCAGUGGGGAAUAUUGGUCAAUGGGGGAAACCCUGAAGCAGCAACGCCGCGUGGAGGAUGAAGGUUUUAGGAUUGUAAACUCCUUUUGUUAGGGAAGAUUAUGACGGUAUCUGACGAAUAAUCACCGUCUCACUCCGUUCCAGCAGCCGCGGUUAUACGGAGGGUGCAAGCGUUACUCGGAAUCACUGGGCGUAAAGCGUGCGUAGGCGGGGUAAUAAGUCAGAGGUGGAAUCCUGUAGCUUAACCACAGAACUGCAUUUGAAACUGUUAGGCUGGAGUGUGGGAGAGGUAGGUGGAAGUCUUGGUGUAGGGGUAAAAUCCGUAGAGAUCAAGAGGAAUACUCAGUGCGAAGGCGACCUGCUGGAACAUGACUGACGCUGAUGCACGAAAGCGUGGGGAGCAAACAGGAUUAGAUACCCGUGUAGUC